GAAUGAGAGGCUAGUGGCAAGGUGAAGAGCCUCACUCAUUGAGCAGCCGAACAAACAUAUAAAAUUCACCCAAACCCACAUUCACAGUUUCUUUUUUGAAUAGGAAUCUUUUUACCCAUUUCCCCACAAAAAUUACUAUAACCACAGUCUACAGUGAAUUGAAAUAAAGCAACAAACACCCUCAUGUGUCUCCAACUGGUGCUCCUCCUUUUCAUGCCUCCCCCCUCAUUUCUUUAUUUCCUCUGCUUACACUGCCCUCUUAGUCUUCGUCAACUUUUGGAGGAAGCAUCCUAACCGUGGGAUUUGUGGGGCUGUGUCUUUUGGAGGGCCGAGAUCCAAACAGUCAUCAAAGCCUAUGUCUUAGGUGUAAUCUACUGAGCAUGUGGAGGAUUAAUAUUUAAGUGGUGAUUAAUAGUUAUAAUUAUUGAAAAAGAUAGGAUAUAGAAUAGAAGCAUCACAAGUUCACAACCAAGGGAAGAAGAAUGGGUAAUUUAAUGGAAAGGUGAGGACAAGGACUGGCAUUGUCAGCCAAUCUAGACCAUAUAAA
RNAcentral lists this long non-coding RNA (547 nucleotides) under Vitis vinifera (wine grape). Its description in RNAcentral is "long non-coding RNA (VVIN_LNC001825)". Lineage: Eukaryota; Viridiplantae; Streptophyta; Magnoliopsida; Vitales; Vitaceae. The record is from RNAcentral.